UACGAAAGGUCCAAGCGUUACUCGGAAUCACUGGGCGUAAAGCGCGCGUAGGCGGUCUCGUAUGUCGAUUGUGAAAGCCCCGGGCUCAACCUGGGAACUGCAGUCGAAACUGCGAGACUUGAAUGUUGGAGAGGUUGGGGGAAUACCUAGUGGAGAAGUGAAAUUCGUAGAGAUUAGGUGGAACACCAGAGGCGAAGGCGCCUGACUGGCCAAACAUUGACGCUAAGGCGCGAAAGCGUGGGUAGCAAACAGG
Molecule: ribosomal RNA, 253 nt
Filed under: uncultured bacterium
Lineage: Bacteria
Description: partial 16S ribosomal RNA
Rfam family: Bacterial small subunit ribosomal RNA
Source: RNAcentral